GGUGGUAUGUAUAACUGUACAGGGCGCCGGAGUUGACGGUCACAUUGCUCUGCGGGGGUGUACGGUACGUAUGGUCUUGUGGUUAGCUGUUGAUCAUCGUGUCGCUUGUGCAAGCAAGCCCGGUGGAGGUUAACUCUUGUGCUGUGCGUAGUUUAUGUGCGUUGGUGGAGUGUUAUGAAGGACCUAUAGUUUGUGGUGCUGUGGUAGACCAGCCACCUGACCCGUCUUGAAACACGGACCAAGGAGUUUAACAUGCGCGCGAGUCAUUGGGCUCUACGAAACCCAAAGGCGUAGUGAAAGUGAAGACCUUCGGGUCACGGUGAGAUCCCGUUGUGUGUUUGCUCCUUGUGCAUUGGCGGUACCAAGCAUGGAGCAGCGGGCGCAUCACCGGCCCGUCCCAUAAUGUGUCUGCUCGGUUGAAGGCGGGCAGUAGAGCGUUCGGAUUUUAGGCGUGUGAAUGGUCGGGUAAUUGGAUCGGCGCUUCGGUGUGGGUCUGCCUUGGCUGGCNUGUCGUGCGCCGGGUCCGGGAGAGCGACUGUCCUACGGGCAUGUCAUUGGGGCGGAGCAUGAGCGUGCACGUUGAGACCCGAAAGAUGGUGAACUAUGCUUGCGCAGGUUGAAGCCAGAGGAAACUCUGGUGGAGGACCGCAGCGAUUCUGACGUGCAAAUCGAUCGUCAAACGUGAGUAUAGGGGCGAAAGACUAAUCGAACCAUCUAGUAGCUGGUUCCCUCCGAAGUUUCCCUCAGGAUAGCAU
RNAcentral lists this ribosomal RNA (755 nucleotides) under Gyrocotyle confusa. RNAcentral's name for it is "partial large subunit ribosomal RNA". It matches the Rfam family "Eukaryotic large subunit ribosomal RNA", at positions 422 to 984 of the family's 3401-position model. The record is from RNAcentral. Lineage: Eukaryota; Metazoa; Platyhelminthes; Cestoda; Gyrocotylidea; Gyrocotylidae.